AGUCAUCUGAAGUGUUCGUAAGUUUGCUUCAUAUUUGGGCCUAACACUCUUUGAUCCGGGAGCCCAAUGGGUUUUCUUGCAGCGCACACGCCUCAAAGGAGGACUUGCAAAACAAGAAACAGGGCACCCACCUGUUAUAAGC
This 142-nucleotide small RNA is filed under the name Staphylococcus cohnii. Its description in RNAcentral is "partial 6S RNA". It matches the Rfam family "6S / SsrS RNA", at positions 1 to 143 of the family's 187-position model. From Rfam's summary of the family: E. coli 6S RNA was the first non coding RNA to be sequenced, but its function was unknown until recently. It consists of 184 nucleotides that fold into an extended hairpin structure with a large single-stranded internal bulge. The 6S RNA specifically associates with RNA polymerase holoenzyme containing the sigma70 specificity factor. The record is from RNAcentral. Lineage: Bacteria; Bacillati; Bacillota; Bacilli; Caryophanales; Staphylococcaceae.